Molecule: ribosomal RNA, 253 nt
Filed under: uncultured bacterium
Lineage: Bacteria
Description: partial 16S ribosomal RNA
Rfam family: Bacterial small subunit ribosomal RNA
Source: RNAcentral
GACGUAGGGCGCGAGCGUUGUCCGGAUUUAUUGGGCGUAAAGAGCUCGUAGGCGGCUUGUCGCGUCGAAUGUGAAAACUCGGGGCUCAACUCCGAGCUUGCAUUCGAUACGGGCAGGCUAGAGUUCGGUAGGGGAGACUGGAAUUCCUGGUGUAGCGGUGAAAUGCGCAGAUAUCAGGAGGAACACCAAUGGCGAAGGCAGCUCGCUGGGACGGUACUGACGCUGAGACGCGAAAGCGUGGGGAGCAAACAGG